This 1647-nucleotide ribosomal RNA is filed under the name Triticum aestivum (bread wheat). RNAcentral describes it as "partial small subunit ribosomal RNA". The record is from RNAcentral. Lineage: Eukaryota; Viridiplantae; Streptophyta; Magnoliopsida; Poales; Poaceae.
AUGCCUCCCCAUCUCCUUCUACACAGCCUCCUCCAGCUCAGGGUCCCACCUCGCCACCCCCUCCUCCGCCUCCUCCACUCCUACAACCCCAUUGACCGACCGCCGCCGCUGGACCAGCCCCUGCACGAUGCUGAGCUUUGGAUCGCCAAGGCGCUCGCGACUGCUGCCUUACUCCUGCCACACUACCUCCCGGCAUUCCGCCGCCUCGCGCCCUCCCAGGUCGCCGCCGCCGCCGCGCUCCGCCACGCGCCGUGCGCCUCCUCGACGCUCCACCUCUUCUCUGCGCUGCAUUCCCCCCACUCCCAGCUCGCCAUCCCCCCGUCCGCUCAUUCCUACCGCUACGUCAUCUCGUUGAUGUGCCAGUCCGGCCGCCACACUGAUGCCCUCCAACUGUUCGACCAAAUGACGGACCAGUCUGGUUACUUUCCCAAUGCUCGUUUUCUCUCGUUCCUGUCCGGUUCCUGCGCCACCGCAGGCCUUCUUGAUGCCGCUGCAGCAUUGCUCUCAAAGGCAUCCCAAUUUGGUUGUUCCAUUGAAGCGUAUGCAUAUAACAAGCUCCUGGGUUUGUUCAUUGGCCGUGGCCGGGUGCAGGACGCUGUGGCGUUGUUUGAGGGGUGGAUCCAGGGGAGAGUAUAUUCUCCCGACGUGUGGAGCUUCAAUGUCGUCAUCAAGGGGGUUUGCAAGGUGGGGGAUGUUCAAAAGGCGCUCGAGUUGGUCGAAAGAAUGGAUGAGUUUUGUUGCUUGCCAGAUACUGUCACACAUAAUAUUCUUGUGAAUGGGCUAUGCAGGGCAAAGGAGGUGAGUAAGGGUCGUGAGGUGUUGAGGAGGCUUCAGAGAGAUGGUGUUUGCAAGCCCAAUGUAGUGACAUACACCUCAGUAAUCUCAGGUUACUGUAAGGCUGGCAGGAUGGAGGAUGCAAUGGCAGUAUACGGUGACAUGGUUGCGUGUGGGACAUCACCCAAUGUUGUCACAUACAAUGUGCUAAUCAAUGGAUAUGGCAAGGCUGGGAAUAUGGGGUCUGCGGUGGCAGUGUAUCAGCAAAUGAUACUUCGUCGCUGCCUUCCUGAUGUUGUGACAUUUAGCUCAUUGAUUGAUGGAUAUUGUCGGUGCGGACAGCUUGAUGAUGCGAUGAAGAUUUGGACUGAGAUGUCUCAGUAUCAUAUUCAACCAAAUGCACACACGUUCUGUAUCAUAAUACACACAUUUUGUAAGCAGAACAGAUCAGGGGAAGCACUUCAUUUUUUGAAAAAAAUGAACAUGAGAACAGACAUUGCACCACAAGCGUUUAUAUAUAACCCUGUGAUUGAUGUACUGUGCAAGGGUGGAAAGGUGGACGAAGCAAACAUGAUUCUAAUGGAGAUGGAAGAGAAAGGAUGUCAUCCCGACAAGUAUACAUAUACUAUUUUGAUAAUUGGGCACUGCAUGAAGGGUAGGAUAGCAGAAGCCAUCACAUUUUUCCAUAAAAUGGUAGAGACUGGGUGUACCCCUGACAGUAUAGUAGUCAAUUCUUUUAUUAGCUGCCUUUUAAAGUCUGGGAUGCCUGGUGAGGUGGAUCAUAUAAUGCGUAUUGCAGCAGGGGGUGCUUCAUCGAGUUGGAAAGAUCCUUCUCCUGUAACCCAAAGCGUAGACAUUUCAGUAGCUGUAUAG